RNA transcript from Brienomyrus brachyistius, 3870 nucleotides. It is a transcript of the gene named CDC42 effector protein (Rho GTPase binding) 3, with no coding region annotated. The transcript is spliced from 3 exons. Lineage: Eukaryota; Metazoa; Chordata; Actinopteri; Osteoglossiformes; Mormyridae. The record is from RefSeq and is a predicted model, not a curated record.
CACUACUGUGGAAAACUGUGUGGAAGACUGUGAAUUUUAUUGCUUAAUGAUAGAGGGAAAAUUGGUGUAUGUGUGAGAUACGGAUAGAGAGGAGGUGGGAGGGAGAGAGAGAGAGAGAGAGAGAGAGAGAGAGCGAGGAGCAAACUCACAGCACGUUGCCUGUGAAGUGUCUGGUGUCUGCCCAGCAGAUUUACAGAACUCCUUUUAGUAUAUCUGGAGAGAGAAGGAGAAAGUGAGGCAGCAAGGCUGAGAGAGAGAGAGCAGGAGGGAUCCUACAGCGAUUCAAACGCAGCACCUUUGAAAAGCAGGGUGGUCAAGCAGGAGCAGAUACUCUUAACGCCCCGGGCCGUUCUCCUCAGUUCCUGUGCUGUGAUCCACCAGAAGCCUGGGAAGGUGGACGCCCCAGCAGAAGAGGGCAAGAGAGAAGAGAGAGAGGGGGCAUCCCGGGGCCCACGUGUCGACCGAGCUCGGGGCGAAGGUUUAGGGUUGACGGAUGACUACAGGUGCUGGGGUUUCCCCAAAAGGCGAGUCUGAAAGAAUCCUGAAACAGCUGUCCUCCUGCCCUGAAGAUACACCACCAGCCCCCCAGGGCUGAGGCAGACAGCGUGCUGAAGACAGUCUGGAAGCACGUGCCAAAUCUGUCCUCCUGACUCGGAAGCCUCUCUCUGUAGCCAGACGUGUGGCAUGACAAACGCUAACGCCCCUGCAGCCCAGUGUUAUGGGACUUGGGGUCACACCAAGAGAAGUUUCCUGGACAACUGCUGCCAAGGACAACACCACUCGGAGACCUGCAUGAUCUUGGCAGCCGGCCGUAAAUGUAUAUACUUAGGCAAAGAAAGAGGCAAAACAGAAAGCAAACUGCAGCCUCCCAUUCAGCAUAGCAAUAGUACAGCGGUCAGGUUCUAUUACCACAAACCCAGAGGGCUCAACUGCCUACAAUUGAGGUUUUUUUAAAAGCAUCAAUCUUCAGCGUAAGCUGUCAUUCACAGCUUCUCAUUAGCUGUGUAGCAUCGGUGUUGAUGUGAAAGCUGCACGUACCAUUUGCUAUAUCUGCCCCUCUUAGGGCUUGAAGCUGGCGAUGGAAUGUCCAUGAUGCAGCAAUAUGGUUUAUUCCUGUAGAUACGCAGUGCGCGUCUCUCAUCUGAUGUCUGAACAAGCACAUACAACUGUAAGCUGCUUCAGAUACCAGCUAAAUAGUAGAACGAUAAAUUAAUAGUAAACUUAAGUAUCUGUUAUUUUUCCUGUAGUUAGGUUGAUCCUAUGGGAGACAUAAGUUUGAUAUCUGAUUGAAUGUCUCUAAAGAUGAAAGAUGAGAAAUGAGGAAUAUUUAUAACGAUAAGUGGAUGAGAUUGGUACCCGACAUUUACAAACUUUGGGAUUAGAAGGUGGCACUGUACAAAAUGCAUUAAGUAAAGAAUAUAUUUCUGCUAAUUUAUUCUGGGCCAAGGUCUGAAUAGUCAAACCAUCAAGUAGGUUUUGUUAUUUGCUGAUGUGACCUACAUCUAUACAUGGAACUGAAGACACUUUUCAUGCCUGCAUGUAUACCUGCCCCUGUAAGACUGACAUCCAGGGAUUGCAGUGAAAGCCCUACUGACAAGUUUAGUGAUGGGUCUGCCGGUUUUAUAACGGAGAGUGAAUUCCUGGCCAGAUAUGAGGUGAGGAACUAUAACAAUCAAUAUGAGAGGUGGGGGGGGAGCGUAGGGGGUGUGUCUGUGUCCUUCUCCCCUCUCAACAAUUAAUAGCACCCACACAUUUGAAGCAUGCCGAUCAAACUGCGUCGAGUUGACUUGUGGUUUUCAUACGAUUGUCCUUACAAGAGAUAGAAGUUGUGCAGAAGUGUUCGGUCCAAAGCAUGGAAAAUGAGCAAUUCUUCUCCAGUCUUCUUCUUUCAAUAUCCCAUUGUUCCACGCAUUUUCCGCAACUGCAUUUGCAGAGUACUUUUUCCCAUCAUGCAAAUGGAAUCAUGGUUGACUCUGUUUGAACCUGAGAAAUGUCACUCGAAAGCCCCACCAUGUCACCAGUGACAGUUUAUUUAUAGACUAUGAGCUGGUACUUCUCAUUUUGUAGCUGGAUGGAGGCUAAACAAGUAUGGGAAUGUCUGUCUGCGCACCAAAACAGGACAGACACCACGUGUCAUAUCUCUCAUUUCUGCCUCAUGUUUUGGACCAUCAAAGUCCACAAAUAGCCCAGUGUAUAAUCUAAACUUUAAUUAAGAUCACAAUAUUACUAAAAAGCUGUAUUAAUUUCCUAUAGUUUGUUGUAUUAUUACAGGAAUUCAACUUCACUGUACAUUUUGUAUAUUUUCUGUUAGCUGAGAUUGUAUGUGGAUACAAAUGUGGGAGUUUCUCAAAGUUUGAUUGCUUACAUCUUUGUAUAUCUAUAUAUCAUACAGCUCCUUCUUUGGUAAGCUGCGAAAAAUCUGUAACAAGCAUAAUACCACCAAAGACUAAAUUAUAUUUGGUAAGUAAUUAGCAAUAAAUAAGUCAAGAUCAGCAGAAGACUCACACUGAUGCUAUGUUGAAUUAGUUCUGAAGGCACCCAUUACCUCCAAUGUGUCCAGUGGGGGGUCAGUCAAUAAAUUAAUUUGUCAACCUUCAUCUAAUACUGCUUUUUCUGCAAACGACUCACCAAAAGCUUUGCUUAUAAAAAGAAAUAAGGCAAAGGCUGGUUUAUCAAGAUGGAAGAAAAAUGAAAAAUAUUCACAGUAGUCUAGUAAUAACUGAGUAAGAAAAUGUUGUAUAUAAAUGUAUAAAUCACAAAAAGGAAGAUGUUCUCGGUAUUGGUUUGGAGUCUGCUUAAAACCGCAAAGCUUUCCAAGGAAGAGGUGCUGUUUCCUCGCUGAUAAAUAUUUGGAUAGGCUGCCAGGCAGCCUGUGUAAACGUCCUGGCUGGUGCUCGCUGCGGACUGUGCCACACUCUGCCGGUACGGGUCAGUGCCCGGAGUCCUUACAAAAGUAAACAUGACUAUAAAUGGCCAUACGUGCUUCCUCUCCUCUCUCUGUGUGCCGGUCAUGUCUGGCCUCCUCGUCCGGCUCUCCUGCUGUCAUCAUCGCAGCAGAUCUGUCUCACCACACUCAUCCUGUCUAUCUCUCCAUCGCUCCCUCUCACUGUCCCAAAUUUAAAUCAUUGCUCCAUGAUUGUGCUAGUCAAAUGAUUGACUGUUCUACAUGCAGUACUAAAAGGAAUGAUAAAUAGAGCUUAGAACGGGUGGCAUUUACAGGCCAUUAACAAAUGUUUUCGGUCAGUUUUCAAACAGUCAUCUCUUCAUGUCCCUUAAAGUCAAUGACUUCAUUCCUGAUUUUCUGGCUUCAUAUUUCCACACGUCUCAGUGACAGCCCCCUUGCAGAGCAUGCUAGGAGCCUACCAGCAAGGACCCAUAUGUUUGGUAUUAAGGUCUGCAGAACACCAGCCAUAUGGAGCUUUUCCCUGCAUGUCUGAGAGGCCUUUCAGCUUCUAACAGAACAUCAUGGCAGCCAGCUGCUCCCAAUGAAGACAUUUUAUGUUCGCUUUUCUUUAACGGACAUGUUUCGUGUCUGUAACAUGAUGUCUGUAGACCUGAAUGUUUGCAGAUAAAAAAGGAGAUGGAAUCACCUCCUGUCGACAUAAUUAGAUGACUCGUUCUCGCAGACAUUCCGUAAUUUACUCUGACAGCUACGGUGGUGUGCUUACGGGUGUUUCUGAGGUGAGCUUACUUACCAACUGCGUCUCCCUGAAAAGCAUGUCGUGAAGCUUUUGGAAACCUCACUUUUCAGUUGGUGAUUGCGAAUGAGUGUUUUCUCACCGUACUUUCAUCUAUGUGGCAGCACACAACAGAAGUAUGAAGUUGGUUUUUUCAAAAGUUUUUUUUUUAUCAAUAGAUCAGUCAUGUCAU